UGAGGAAUAUUGCGCAAUGGAGGCAACUCUGACGCAGCCAUGCCGCGUGCAGGAAGACGGCCCUACGGGUUGUAAACUGCUUUUAUUCGGGAAGAAACCCCUCGACGUGUCGAGGGUUGACGGUACCGAAGGAAUAAGCACCGGCUAACUUCGUGCCAGCAGCCGCGGUAAUACGAAGGGUGCAAGCGUUAUCCGGAUUCAUUGGGUUUAAAGGGUGCGUAGGCGGGGUGAUAAGUCAGUGGUGAAAUCC
RNAcentral lists this ribosomal RNA (250 nucleotides) under uncultured bacterium. RNAcentral's name for it is "partial 16S ribosomal RNA". It matches the Rfam family "Bacterial small subunit ribosomal RNA", at positions 355 to 602 of the family's 1533-position model. The record is from RNAcentral.